This 347-nucleotide ribosomal RNA is filed under the name uncultured bacterium. Its description in RNAcentral is "partial 16S ribosomal RNA". It matches the Rfam family "Bacterial small subunit ribosomal RNA", at positions 338 to 696 of the family's 1533-position model. The record is from RNAcentral.
CCUACGGGCGGCAGCAGUCGAGAAUAUUUCACAAUGGGGGAAACCCUGAUGCUGCGACGCCGCGUGGGGGAAUGAAGGUCUUCGGAUUGUAAACUCCUGUAAUGUGGGAGCAAAUUAAAAAGAUAGUACAACAAGAGGAAGAGACGGCUAACUAUGUGCCAGCAGCCGCGGUAAUACGGAGGUCACAAGCGUUGUGCGGUAUCACUGGGCGUAAAGAGUGAGUAGGCGGUGUCGUAAGUCGUGUGUGAAAGCCGUGGGCUCAACCCGCGGACGGCACAUGAUACUGCGAGACUAGAGUAAUGGAGAGGGAAGCGGAAUUCUUGGUGUAGCGGUGAAAUGCGUAGAUA